RNAcentral lists this transfer RNA (72 nucleotides) under Smittium mucronatum. It matches the Rfam family "tRNA". Rfam says of the family: Transfer RNA (tRNA) molecules are approximately 80 nucleotides in length. Their secondary structure includes four short double-helical elements and three loops (D, anti-codon, and T loops). Further hydrogen bonds mediate the characteristic L-shaped molecular structure. tRNAs have two regions of fundamental functional importance: the anti-codon, which is responsible for specific mRNA codon recognition, and the 3' end, to which the tRNAs corresponding amino acid is attached (by aminoacyl-tRNA synthetases). tRNAs cope with the degeneracy of the genetic code in two manners: having more than one tRNA (with a specific anti-codon) for a particular amino acid; and 'wobble' base-pairing, i.e. permitting non-standard base-pairing at the 3rd anti-codon position. The record is from Rfam by way of RNAcentral. Lineage: Eukaryota; Fungi; Kickxellomycota; Harpellomycetes; Harpellales; Legeriomycetaceae.
UCCCAUAUGGUCCAGUGGUUAGGAUUCCUCGCUUUCGCCGAGGCGGCCGGGGUUCGAUUCCCCGUAUCGGAG